AAGUCGUAACAAGGUCUCCGUAGGGUGAGUUUUGAACGAUUCUAACUAAUAUUGAAUGCAUGCUAACAGAUUUCUAGUGAACCUGCGGAGGGAUCAUUACUGAGCGAGGGUCUCUGACCCGACCUCCAACCCUCUGUGAUUUAAACCUCUGUUGCCUCGGGGGCGACCCGGCCUCGCGUCUAGGGCCCCCGACGGACCAUUUCAAAACACUGCAUCUUUGCGUCGGAUCGAAUAAAGUCAAAUGAUUAAAACUUUCAACAACGGAUCUCUUGGUUCUGGCAUCGAUGAAGAACGCAGCGAAAUGCGAUAAGUAAUGUGAAUUGCAGAAUUCAGUGAAUCAUCGAGUCUUUGAACGCACAUUGCGCCCCUGUACUCUGGCGGGCAUGCCUGUUCGAGCGUCAUUUCACCAAUCAGGCCUGGCUUGGCAUUGGGUACCGGGGCGACCCGGGCCUCAAAAGUCGUCGGCUGGCAAGCUCUGAUCUCAGCGUCGUGAUUAAUCAAAUUCGCUUUGCAGAGGAGUGAGCCGUGCCGGUUAAAUACUAUCUAAAGGUUGACCUCGGAUCGGGUAGGAAUACCCGCUGAACUUAA
Molecule: ribosomal RNA, 588 nt
Filed under: uncultured fungus
Lineage: Eukaryota; Fungi
Description: eukaryotic LSU rRNA
Rfam family: 5.8S ribosomal RNA (bases 250-401)
Source: RNAcentral